GAUGAACGCUGGCGGCGUGCCUAAUACAUGCAAGUCGAGCGAACGGACGAGAAGCUUGCUUCUCUGAUGUUAGCGGCGGACGGGUGAGUAACACGUGGAUAACCUACCUAUAAGACUGGGAUAACUUCGGGAAACCGGAGCUAAUACCGGAUAAUAUUUUGAACCGCAUGGUUCAAAAGUGAAAGACGGUCUUGCUGUCACUUAUAGAUGGAUCCGCGCUGCAUUAGCUAGUUGGUAAGGUAGCGGCUUACCAAGGCAACGAUGCAUAGCCGACCUGAGAGGGUGAUCGGCCACACUGGAACUGAGACACGGUCCAGACUCCUACGGGAGGCAGCAGUAGGGAAUCUUCCGCAAUGGGCGAAAGCCUGACGGAGCAACGCCGCGUGAGUGAUGAAGGUCUUCGGAUCGUAAAACUCUGUUAUUAGGGAAGAACAUAUGUGUAAGUAACUGUGCACAUCUUGACGGUACCUAAUCAGAAAGCCGCGGCUAACUACGUG
Molecule: ribosomal RNA, 497 nt
Filed under: uncultured bacterium
Lineage: Bacteria
Description: partial 16S ribosomal RNA
Rfam family: Bacterial small subunit ribosomal RNA
Source: RNAcentral